This 445-nucleotide ribosomal RNA is filed under the name Ototyphlonemertes erneba. RNAcentral's name for it is "partial 16S ribosomal RNA". It matches the Rfam family "Archaeal large subunit ribosomal RNA", at positions 1929 to 2668 of the family's 2987-position model. Lineage: Eukaryota; Metazoa; Nemertea; Enopla; Monostilifera; Ototyphlonemertidae. The record is from RNAcentral.
GCUUUUUGUUAAUUAAAGGUAUGUUCUGCCCAAUGAUUUUUAAUGGCCGCGGUAAUUUGACCGUGCAAAGGUAGCAUAAUCAUUUGCCUCGUAAUUGGGGGCUGGAAUGAAUGAAUAAACAAGGGUUUUUCUUUAUUUUUAAGAAAAAAAAAAAUUUCUUUUUUAGUGAAGAAGCUAAAAUAAGAAAAGGGACAAGAAGACCCUUUUGAGCUUUAUUGGCUUUUGUUUUAUAAGAGGUUAAUUUGGUUGGGGCGACCGAGGAGUAUCCUCCUUAAUAAUAUUGAUCCGUARAUUGCGAUUAAAAGAACAAGUUACCAAAGGGAUAACAGCGUAAUCUUUUUUGAGAGUUCUUAUUAAAAAUUGGGAUUGCGACCUCGAUGUUGACUUAUAAUUUCCUUUUGGUGAAGCAGCUAAUAAGGUAGGUCUGUUCGACCUUUAAAAUUUU